Long non-coding RNA from Mustela erminea (ermine), 1904 nucleotides. RefSeq lists it as uncharacterized. NCBI's taxonomy places the organism in Eukaryota, Metazoa, Chordata, Mammalia, Carnivora, Mustelidae. The record is from RefSeq and is a predicted model, not a curated record. The transcript is spliced from 3 exons.
GGUGACAAAGGCCAGGGAAAACAUUUUCUUUCUCUUCCUGUUGUCUGAUACACCACUGGUAUUUCUUUCUUAACUGUUACAGGUGUCCUCAGGCCUGAGCCUUCAGAUGGUGAUUAUGUCUACAAUUCACUGGUCGGUGCUAGGAGGGGAGCAUGAUUCUUGGUUCCUCAAGAAGAUUCUAGAAGGCCCUGCCCAGUGGCUGGUUCUUAGCCUUUUCCAUGGUAGGCACUCCUUCACAGAAGCUGGCAGGUAGGAAAAAGGGUUUAAAAUGCGAUCUCACAAUUCUCCAGAAGUCCUCUCUGCUUUUGCCUCCCCCCGUCCCCCGAAGAGAUGCUACUGGAGGCAGGAGAAAUCCAUUGAGCUCUUCAUCUACAGGAAGAGUGGCGCCCCAGCAACCCUGCAUGUCUCCACACAGGGCUUGUGAGCACGGCUUCAACGGCAGCAUCUCUGAGUCUUGGCAGAGUGCCCUGUGAUCCUCCCCGAAUUCGAGUGGUUAUUCUAAGGCCGUUCCCCACUUGCCUUCCUAGCUCCCCAGGAGAUGGUCAGGGGACAACUGAUGGACAGUUUCUCAUCACCUCCCAUGUUCUGAUGAGGUUUAAAGCUUUCGGCCUCGCUCCCCUCAGGGUACAUUUGCAGGCUAUAAAACCGCCUAGAGGCAGCAUAGAAUUGACUCCUCAGCAACGGGGUGCCCCAUCUUCCCUAUUGCAGUCAUCUGGUCUGUUUUGUUUCAGUGACUUCCUGUGGGGUGGAGGACACGCAGAAUGGACAUUUUGGUGACGCUAGUUUUCACUGUCUCUAUGAGCAACACGCGGCCUAAAUCCAGCCGCCUUGCCUUGACUCCCUGCGUCACCCAAAGUGACCCUCGUCAUCUACUAUCCAGUGACUAAACGCCCCUGGGCACCAGCAGCGGUUGAUGGCCUCUCCUCGAAGCGUUCUUAACCAGAGAAUGGACAGAAUGCAGGGGGUGCUGGGAACAUGGAUAGGAACCAAUGACAUUUUCAAUUUUCCCAACUUCCACCUGAGAUUUAGCAUUUCUUUCAACAACACAAUGUGGACAACAGGCCAUAGCAGUAUAUGUAGUAUCAGUGACUUGUCACCGGUUAGAAAGCACAGAUAUUUUCAUAUCCUAUUACUCGAUUGCAGAAACCUUAAAAUACUCUGUUCCUCAUUACUUUGAAAUUAUGUUAAAUAUUGAGCCCACCCCCUAGAUCUUAUUAAUACAUUUGUAAAGUGGUUUACAUCUUAUUAUACUAUGACUUUGCUUUAAGAAUAUUUUGAUAAUUUAUUUCCAUCUUACUGGCUUUCUUUGUCAUCUCAUGUAUUAAAUUUUAUCCAAAUAUUCUCUCUAGUGUCUAGUAACCAUGGCUAUUGGUAACAUACUGGUUACUGCUUGGCUGUGUGUCAUUGGCUAAAUAACUUCUUGGGCUCUCUGUUUCCUUGUCCUUAGGAUAAAGGGAUCAGCUGUUCAUCUCUGAGCAUUCCACCAGCCACACUGGUGAUUGGAUAAUAUGAAUCUUGUCACUUCCAUUAUACCACAGCUGAUGAAUUACAGGACAAUUGGAAUUGGGGUUUUGUAUUAGCUUCUUAUUUUACAUUUAUUUAGCCAUUUUACUUUCAUAGUAUUGUAGAGAACUUCCAGGAAUCUGUCUAGUAAAUGUGUGAACAUUUAUCUAUAAAUAUGUCUCCAGUGUAAAACUAGAAACAACCUAAACAUUAAACAGUAGAAGAUUAAGCAGAUUAAAAUAAAUUCAUAGGAGGGAACAAGAUGGUCAAUAGAAUGAUACAGAAAAGUAUCACAGAAGAGUGGUCAUGCAAUGCAGUGAGAUCCACAAGCAAAAGCCAUUUAUGAUACUUGAAGACCAAUAUGAUUCUAUAUUUAUAAAAAUAAAUGGAAAUAAAUGCAU